GUAGGCCCGAUUGAACAAAACUCCCAAGGCAUCAGCUGAAAGUAUACAUCCCAAAUUUGACUGGUAUCUGAUCAGCAGCUGAGAUAGAGAAGUCGCCUUGUGAUGCUUUGGCUGCCAUCCAAUCCGUAGCCUGAUUUUACCUCCUUGCAGUACAUGUGUCGCCUUGAACGCCCAUCUUGACCUCUUCCAUUGCAGCACAUCCUUCAGCAAGGGCAUAGACCCGUUUGUAGACACAGAAUCAUGAAUCCAAUGAACAAUGGUUUUAGAGUCCCUUUCCAACCAAAUUUGAUACACUCUUCCUCUACCAAGGCUCUGGAUACAUAAUCCAUUAGAGCUGGCAAAGACGAGGGAAGAAAACCAAGGCCACUCUGAUCACAUAGGCGCUGCCAACAUUGGUGGGCAUAAGAACAAGUUAUAGUAACGUAUUCACAAUCCUCAA
This 439-nucleotide long non-coding RNA is filed under the name Phoenix dactylifera (date palm). RNAcentral describes it as "long non-coding RNA (PDAC_LNC002718)". Lineage: Eukaryota; Viridiplantae; Streptophyta; Magnoliopsida; Arecales; Arecaceae. The record is from RNAcentral.